GGAGUCUUAGCUCAGCUGGGAGAGCAUCUGCCUUACAAGCAGAGGGUCAUAGGUUCGAGCCCUAUAGGCUCCA
RNAcentral lists this transfer RNA (73 nucleotides) under Eubacterium sp. Its description in RNAcentral is "tRNA-Val". It matches the Rfam family "tRNA". Rfam says of the family: Transfer RNA (tRNA) molecules are approximately 80 nucleotides in length. Their secondary structure includes four short double-helical elements and three loops (D, anti-codon, and T loops). The record is from RNAcentral. RNAcentral also lists the same sequence under 4 other names. Lineage: Bacteria; Bacillati; Bacillota; Clostridia; Eubacteriales; Eubacteriaceae.